ACUGGGUGUGGUGACACACCUGUAAUCCCAGUGGCUGGGGAGGCUGAGGCAGGAGGAUCACAAGUUCAGAGCUAGCCUCAGCAUUUUAGCGAGGCUCUGGGCAAUUUAGAGAGGCCCUGUCUCAA
This 125-nucleotide small RNA is filed under the name Marmota monax (woodchuck). Lineage: Eukaryota; Metazoa; Chordata; Mammalia; Rodentia; Sciuridae. The record is from RNAcentral.